UACGGAGGAUGCAAGCGUUAUCCGGAAUGAUUGGGCGUAAAGCGUCCGCAGGUGGCUGUGUAAGUCUGCUGUUAAAGAGUGAGGCUCAACCUCAUAAAAGCAGUGGAAACUACACAGCUAGAGUGCGUUCGGGGCAGAGGGAAUUCCUGGUGUAGCGGUGAAAUGCGUAGAGAUCAGGAAGAACACCGGUGGCGAAAGCGUUCUGCUAGACCUGUACUGACACUGAGGGACGAAAGCUAGGGGAGCGAAUGGG
Molecule: ribosomal RNA, 253 nt
Filed under: uncultured bacterium
Lineage: Bacteria
Description: partial 16S ribosomal RNA
Rfam family: Bacterial small subunit ribosomal RNA
Source: RNAcentral